Molecule: ribosomal RNA, 463 nt
Filed under: uncultured bacterium
Lineage: Bacteria
Description: bacterial SSU rRNA
Rfam family: Bacterial small subunit ribosomal RNA
Source: RNAcentral
AUUGAACGCUGGCGGCAUGCUUUACACAUGCAAGUCGAACGGUAACAGGGAGCUUGCUCCGCUGACGAGUGGCGAACGGGUGAGUAAUGCAUCGGAACGUACCCAGUCGUGGGGGAUAACGUAGCGAAAGUUACGCUAAUACCGCAUACGUCCUGAGGGAGAAAGCGGGGGACCGUAAGGCCUCGCGCGAUUGGAGCGGCCGAUGUCGGAUUAGCUAGUUGGUAGGGUGAAGGCCUACCAAGGCGACGAUCCGUAGCGGGUCUGAGAGGAUGAUCCGCCACACUGGGACUGAGACACGGCCCAGACUCCUACGGGAGGCAGCAGUGGGGAAUUUUGGACAAUGGGCGAAAGCCUGAUCCAGCCAUGCCGCGUGAGUGAAGAAGGCCUCGGUUGUAAGCUCUUUCUAGCCGGAAAGAAAUACGCGCAGGAUAAUAACUCUGCGUGGAUGACGGUACCGGAAGAA